Molecule: long non-coding RNA, 264 nt
Organism: Populus euphratica (Euphrates poplar)
Lineage: Eukaryota; Viridiplantae; Streptophyta; Magnoliopsida; Malpighiales; Salicaceae
Exons: 3
Source: RefSeq, a predicted model, not a curated record
CCGUUUGGCAAUGAACUUCUUUAUCAAUCUUUCAUGCAACAAUCACUAGAGAAAUUCCCAAUUCCCACAAGAGCUCCAACAUCAGACGACUAGGUAAUGGAAGAAAGCAUGCCAACGAGUUUGGUAGGCAAUGGUUGUGUUGAUAUUCGAGGCAGAACUGCAGACAAGCGAACUACUGGAGGAUCGAAAGCUGCUCCUUUUAUUAUAGUGAAUGAAGUUGCUGAGAGGCUAGCAUUUUUUGCUAUAGCUGUGAACUGUUAGGUU